GAACCUGGCGGCAUGCUACCAUGCAGUCGAACGAGACUUCGGGUCUAGUGGCGCCGGGUGCGUAACGCGUGGGAUUGCCCUUGGGUUCGGAAUAACAGUUAGAAAUGACUGCUAAUACCGGAUGAUGACUUCGGUCCAAAGAUUUAUCGCCCAAUGAUGAGCCCGCGUCGGAUUAGCUUGUUGGUGAGGUAAAAGCUCACCAAGGCGACGAUCCGUAGCUAGUCUGAGAGGAUGAUCAGCCACACUGGGACUGAGACACGGCCCAGACUCCUACGGGAGGCAGCAGUGGGGAAUAUUGGACAAUGGGCGAAAGCCUGAUCCAGCAAUGCCGCGUGAGUGAUGAAGGCCUUAGGGUUGUAAAAGCUCUUUUACCCGGGAUGAUAAUGACCGUACCGGGGGAAUAAGCCCCGGCUAACUCCGUGCCAGCAGCCGCGGUAAUACGGAGGGGGCUAGCGUUGUUCGGAAUUACUGGGCGUAAGCGCACGUAGGCGGCUUUGUAAGUUAGAGGUGAAAGCCCAGUGCUCAACCCUGGAAUUGCCUUUAAGACUGCAUCGCUUGAACAUCGGAGAGGUAAGUGGAAUUCCGAGUGUAGAGGUGAAAUUCGUAGAUCUUCGGAAGAACACCAGUGGCGAAGG
RNAcentral lists this ribosomal RNA (635 nucleotides) under uncultured Sphingomonas sp. Its description in RNAcentral is "bacterial SSU rRNA". It matches the Rfam family "Bacterial small subunit ribosomal RNA", at positions 31 to 721 of the family's 1533-position model. The record is from RNAcentral. Lineage: Bacteria; Pseudomonadati; Pseudomonadota; Alphaproteobacteria; Sphingomonadales; Sphingomonadaceae.